Dunckerocampus dactyliophorus (ringed pipefish) is the source of this 1511-nucleotide long non-coding RNA. RefSeq lists it as uncharacterized. The record is from RefSeq and is a predicted model, not a curated record. The transcript is spliced from 3 exons. NCBI's taxonomy places the organism in Eukaryota, Metazoa, Chordata, Actinopteri, Syngnathiformes, Syngnathidae.
CAAGAACGAGCCAUUGUGCCGAAUUUAUUCGAAAGCGGUAGCAUCAUAAAAGGCAACAAAACGAACUUGCCCACCUUAAACAUAUCCACCCAACAGUGCCUUCAUCUCGACAAUCGACACCCACGACACAUUUGAUCAGCAAAGUAAAUAGAAAUGGAACAGCGCAAAAUUGUGUGCAUUCACAAAAAGACAUCGCAAAAGAAAUGCUGCUCUUUAAUACAGUUGAAAAGCCAGCAUUUCAAGAAAUGUUGCAAAUGUUACAGUACGAAUUGCCUGUGAGAAGAUACAUGUACAUGUCACAAACGGCAACUCCACAACUUCACAAAGAAAGAUAACAUAUUAAAGGAAAUAUUGUAUUAUGAUUAUAUAUUAUUAUUAUUAUACCAGAGGAACAGAAAUGCCUGUGAUUGGUUGCUUUCCAGGAAAGCCUGCUUCCGUGACCUCUUCUUUCACCUGACAGCUACCUGUUCCAUUGUCGAACAAGAGGAGUCGGAGCAGAGGAUCACAGGUGACUGUGUACCUGUAUACCAGUAACUUUGGGCCUUAGGCGGGGUACUCUCUGGACAGGGGCCAGCUAGUUGCAAGACAUAUUUAGUGUGUUACCUGAAGACUCUCUGGCUGGUUUAUUGGGGUUUGAUAUCACCCCCAAACACCACAUCUCCUCAGGUGUUCUAUUCCCUGAGGUGUUCUUAGAAGCGCCGACUCCAAUUUCAAGAAGGAAGCUUUGACGAAACCCUGACGAUCUCCAGACGCAAGACGCUGCUUGCAAGCAAAGUGGAAACAUCCAAAAUAUCUAUUGUAUCAGACUUUUUUGUUUCUCUUUUUUGUAGUCUUAUUACAUUGCAGACUUAGCAAGGAUUCUCUUUUUGAUGUAUGGAUUUACAAUAUAUUUGUAUUUUAAAGGACUUCUACUUUGUCCUCCUUCCUAAGAGGCCAAGUUCCUCUGAAUAAAAACCUACAUUUGACAUUUGAAUAUCAUGUCCAAUAUUCAGUGCUGUAUAUAAGUGGCCAGUCAUUGAAAUACAAGAUGAAAUUUUAAUAUUUUAACCCCAGAAAAUAUAUAUUUUUUAAAUUCUAACCUUAACCCUAAAUUUAAAUAAUUGUCAAUAAAGUUGCCAGUCACAUUUUUUAUAUAUAAUUAUAGCGUAUUUAUUCUUAUCCUUAUCUUCUUUGCUGAUUGGCUAUAGGAGAUGAGCUGAUUAGCUCCAAUGGCUGGCUGGAUGUCGGGUCCCUGGCCAGGAAUUGCGUCUCUCUUAAUUAAUUUCAGCACUUCCCCAAUAUUUUAGAACAUCACACUAGCUUUGCUCUCUGGAGUUCAAAGUUCAAAUCCUGCAGGUGUCACAUGACAUGGACACUGAUCACUGAUUAUGCUACACCGGCUCGCUCCUUCCCCUCCAACUCUCCUGCUUGCUUGAUGUUGACGUUUUCAGAUCAACAUUUCAGAUCAACAUUUGCAAUAAAUGUGACUGUUGUAACUAUCACAUUAGAUUCAACUCCGGAACCCUCCUCAU